This 253-nucleotide ribosomal RNA is filed under the name uncultured bacterium. RNAcentral describes it as "partial 16S ribosomal RNA". It matches the Rfam family "Bacterial small subunit ribosomal RNA", at positions 524 to 776 of the family's 1533-position model. The record is from RNAcentral.
UACAGAGGGGACGAGCGUUGUUCGGAAUUACUGGGCGUAAAGGGCGCGUAGGCGGCCCGCUAAGUCGAACGUGAAAUCCCCAGGCUCAACCUGGGAACUGCGUCCGAUACUGGCAGGCUUGAAUCCGGGAGAGGGAUGUGGAAUUCCAGGUGUAGCGGUGAAAUGCGUAGAUAUCUGGAGGAACACCGGUGGCGAAGGCGGGUCUCUGGGCCGAUACUGACGCUGAGGAGCGAAAGCGUGGGGAGCGAACAGG